GUGAGGAAUAUUGGACAAUGGGCGAAAGCCUGAUCCAGCCAUGCCGCGUGAUAGAUGAAGGCCCUCUGGGUUGUAAAUAUCUUUUAUCUGGGAAGAAACUCCUCUAUUCUUAGAGGCCUGACGGUACCAGAGGAAUAAGCACCGGCUAACUCCGUGCCAGCAGCCGCGGUAAUACGGAGGGUGCAAGCGUUAUCCGGAUUCACUGGGUUUAAAGGGUGCGUAGGCGGGUUGAUAAGUCAGUGGUGAAAGCUCCGGGCUUAACUUGGAAACUGCCAUUGAUACUGGCAAUCUUGAAUGUCGUAAAGGUAAUCGGAAUGUUGCAUGUAGCGGUGAAAUGCUUAGAUAUGUUACAGAACACCAAUUGCGAAGGCAGCUUACUAUGCGAUAAUUGACGCUGAGGCACGAAAGCGUGGGGAGCAAACAGGAUUAGAUACCCCGGUAGUCC
Molecule: ribosomal RNA, 445 nt
Filed under: uncultured bacterium
Lineage: Bacteria
Description: partial 16S ribosomal RNA
Rfam family: Bacterial small subunit ribosomal RNA
Source: RNAcentral